RNAcentral lists this ribosomal RNA (161 nucleotides) under uncultured bacterium. Its description in RNAcentral is "partial 16S ribosomal RNA". It matches the Rfam family "Bacterial small subunit ribosomal RNA", at positions 358 to 511 of the family's 1533-position model. The record is from RNAcentral.
GGAAUCUUCGGCAAUGGACGAAAGUCUGACCGAGCAACGCCGCGUGAGUGAAGAAGGUUUUCGGAUCGUAAAACACUGUUGUAAGAGAAGAAUGACAUUGAGAGUAACUGUUCAAUGUGUGACGGUAUCUUACCAGAAAGGAACGGCUAAAUACGUGCCAG